UACGGGAGGCAGCAGUGGGGAAUAUUGCACAAUGGGCGCAAGCCUGAUGCAGCCAUGCCGCGUGUAUGAAGAAGGCCUUCGGGUUGUAAAGUACUUUCAGUCGUGAGGAAGGUGUUAAGGUUAAUAACCUUAGCAAUUGACGUUAGCGACAGAAGGAGCACCGGCUAACUCCGUGCCAGCAGCCGCGGUAAUACGGAGGGUGCGAGCGUUAAUCGGAAUUACUGGGCGUAAAGGGCACGCAGGCGGUUAAUUAAGUUGGAUGUGAAAUCCCCGGGCUUAACCUGGGAAUGGCAUUCAAGACUGGUUAGCUAGAGUCUUGUAGAGGGGGUAGAAUUCCAUGUGUAGCGGUGAAAUGCGUAGAGAUGUGGAGGAAUACCGGUGGCGAAGGCGGCCCCUGGGACAAAGACUGACGCUCAUGUGCGAAAGCGUGGGGAGCAAACAGGGAUUAGAUACC
This 454-nucleotide ribosomal RNA is filed under the name uncultured bacterium. RNAcentral describes it as "bacterial SSU rRNA". It matches the Rfam family "Bacterial small subunit ribosomal RNA", at positions 340 to 786 of the family's 1533-position model. The record is from RNAcentral.